This is a non-coding RNA of Podarcis lilfordi (Lilford's wall lizard), 69 nucleotides long. The record is from the annotation of a GenBank genome assembly. Lineage: Eukaryota; Metazoa; Chordata; Lepidosauria; Squamata; Lacertidae.
UAUAGCUCAGUUGGUAGAGCAUGAGACACAAUCUCAGGGUUGUGGGUUCGAGGCCCACACUGGGCAAAA